RNAcentral lists this transfer RNA (71 nucleotides) under Planctomycetota bacterium. RNAcentral describes it as "Planctomycetes bacterium (activated sludge metagenome) tRNA-Cys". It matches the Rfam family "tRNA". Rfam says of the family: Transfer RNA (tRNA) molecules are approximately 80 nucleotides in length. Their secondary structure includes four short double-helical elements and three loops (D, anti-codon, and T loops). Further hydrogen bonds mediate the characteristic L-shaped molecular structure. tRNAs have two regions of fundamental functional importance: the anti-codon, which is responsible for specific mRNA codon recognition, and the 3' end, to which the tRNAs corresponding amino acid is attached (by aminoacyl-tRNA synthetases). tRNAs cope with the degeneracy of the genetic code in two manners: having more than one tRNA (with a specific anti-codon) for a particular amino acid; and 'wobble' base-pairing, i.e. permitting non-standard base-pairing at the 3rd anti-codon position. The record is from RNAcentral. Lineage: Bacteria; Pseudomonadati; Planctomycetota. RNAcentral also lists the same sequence under 3 other names.
GAGGAUGGAGCCAGACGGCUAGGCAACCGGCUGCAACCCGGUGAAAGUGGGUUCGAUUCCCACCGUCCUCU